UAUAAUUUUCUGUUUUCUCUCAUCUGGAGUAUACUCCUUUGAAACGUUGCCAAUGGUGGUGUCCGUUCUGCCUAUACUAUCACUGACAUGUGGGACCGACGACGUUAUCCCGGACUUGGCCGAUCGGGAGUCCCUUGACGCCCUCUGAAAAACCCCACGUCGCUGACGCUGCCGAUGUCGUCGUGCCGAAGUCGCCAUCGCCAUCGCGUCGGAAUCCGCCGCCGUCGUCGUCGCUUGAGCAGGGCGGAGAGGCGGCGGGAUCCGCACGAGGAGGAGAGGCUACCGGAUCCGUCCCUCCCGUCAUCGCCGCCGACGGAUCCGCGCGCAUCGGUGGCGGAGAGACGGCGGGAUCUGCGCGGGAGGGGGAAAGGCCGCCGGAUCCGCGCGUAUGGUGGGCAGCCUGCUUGGAGAUGGCGACGGCCUUAUGGCGCAGAAGCCCGACGAGGUUGAGGCAGAGCAGCGUGGUGGAGGACGGGAUGCGCUGUGGCGUCGCGCCGUGGUUGCGGUGGUGCAGCGUGGAGGACGGGAGCACGCGGCGUGAUACGGAGGCUGCGGCUGUGGCGGCGGGGAGGCGAGGAGCGCUGUGCAAUCUGGACUGAGAUUAGGGUUUCUUAUGCGCAUACAAAAUGGGCCACCGUUGGUGUUUAGUUUCUUACAUGGGCUUUGACCAUGUUGGAAUGAGUCCAUUAAGGGAUCUUUUACCCGGGAGGUUUUUCUGUUCACCGUAGCAAUCGGCAUCUUCCUCGCACUCGCGGCACUCACCAAGGUCAUCACCAACGGCUGGCCGAUGGUCUGCAGGACACUCUUGGCGCCUUUCUCUGUCUGUGUGAUCAUUCUCCUAGCAGCUGGAGCGAUUGCAGCCACCACCAUGUCAAACCAUCCUACAUUGCAUUUCCUGUCAAAAGUUGCAGCCAGAGUUUCCCUCAUCUUUGGUAUCAUGAUACUGGAGGUCCCGUUUAUUCAGAUGGCUGCAGGAUUGUCUGCCCAUGUUUUCGCGCCGAUAUUUAUGAUGGCUACGUUAGUUGUACUGGGGUACAUCUGGUGGCGGAGCGAGCCUGACGUCGUGCGCGCGUUGUACUCACCGUUUUGCUCAUGUUUCUUGCGUAGCCAUCGUCAGGUUCAGGUUACUCCUCAGGCCGCUGACUACAAUGUGUGAGGCAGAAGAACUGAAGAUAUCAAACUACAGGUGUACGAUGUUACAUUAGAUAUGUGAAAGUUGUGUUUUGAUUUAUUUCCACUUUUCCGGUUAACUACACAAGGUGGUGCGCUAGACGAUCUGGGUUCGACGCAUCACCCCUUCUAAUUAUUUAAUUUUACGUCAUUACCUAAUAUUCGUGUUUCUUUAUUUAUUUCCAUUUCAAUGAGAUUGUAAUUCAUUUCUGAAUCA
Molecule: non-coding RNA, 1387 nt
Organism: Oryza sativa Japonica Group (Japanese rice)
Lineage: Eukaryota; Viridiplantae; Streptophyta; Magnoliopsida; Poales; Poaceae
Source: RefSeq, a predicted model, not a curated record